UACGUAGGGGGCAAGCGUUGUCCGGAUUUACUGGGCGUAAAGCGUGCGCAGGCGGUUGUGUAAGUCAGAUGUGAAAUCCCCGGGCUCAACCUGGGAACUGCAUUUGUGACUGCACAGCUGGAGUGCGGCAGAGGGGGAUGGAAUUCCGCGUGUAGCAGUGAAAUGCGUAGAUAUGCGGAGGAACACCGAUGGCGAAGGCAAUCCCCUGGGCCUGCACUGACGCUCAUGCACGAAAGCGUGGGGAGCAAACAGG
Molecule: ribosomal RNA, 253 nt
Filed under: uncultured bacterium
Lineage: Bacteria
Description: partial 16S ribosomal RNA
Rfam family: Bacterial small subunit ribosomal RNA
Source: RNAcentral